CUUUUGAAUUCUCUCUAUAUCCCUAGAUUGUUCCUCUGUCAAACUCCCAUGCCAAAUUUGAGCUCCAUAUUCUACGAUUGAUCGAAUUGCCGAAGUAUAAAUAGUUUUCAAGUCAUCUCGCGGAGCAUUAUAUCCUUUUAAAAUUUUUAAAAGAUAUAAUCGUUUAGCUGCCUUUUUGACAAUGUAUUCCGUAUUUGUUCUCCAUUUUAGAUCAUCGUCUAACCACAAUCCAAGUAAUUUAUACGAGCUUACUCUUUCUAGGAUGCAUUCAUCGACUUCUGUUGCAGGAAUAGCUGUUCUAUCCUUUCGAAAGUCGAUAAUCAUCUCUUUGCACUUUUUUGGGUUUAACUCCAUUCUCUCAAUUUCCGCAAAAUUCUUUACCGAAUUAAUUUUUUGGGGUAUAUUACCAAUUUCCGUGCCAGAGAUAUGAUUGUGAACAUCCAGUGCCUCACUAAUCGUUGUAUCGUCCAUGAAGAGAAUCGUAUCUUCAUCCACAACGACAUCAUUAUUUCCAUUUCCUACAACAGCUUCUGCUAUAACACUAGGUAACAUAUUAAUUUUAACCACAAAAGCAAUAGGUCCCAGCUUACUGCCUUGCGGAACGCCUCCCAUAACAUUCGCAAAAUCAGAUACUUCGUUUCCAAACUGUGUAAAAUGAGAUCUCUCGUCCAGGUACGAUGCAUACCAUUUGAUCAGAGCAGGUCUUACACCAAUUUCUCGCAUGUUUUCUAAGAGUUUAUUAUGAUCGAUAAGGUCAAAUGCCUUUCGGAAAUCCAAAAAGACUAUUCUUAUCACUCUGUGCAGUUCAUCCAAUGAUUUAUGCCACUUGUGUAUUAAAUUAACCAGCGCAUUAAUUGUCGAUGAUCGUGGUAGACCCCCAUAUUGAGAAUCAGAAAUUUUUUCAUCGGUAUCUUCAUAUAUCCACUGAACAGCAAAAGAUUCUUGAACCUUUGCUAGGACACUAGUUAAAGCAAUUGGUCUUAACUCUUCAACAUGCGUACAUGGUACAGAUUUAGGGAUUCCAGAUACCUUGUAUUUUUUCCAGAUCUCAGGAAAAAUUUUUGAUUGAAAAGAUUCAUUAAAGAUUUCGGUCAAAGGUACAGCAAAAUAUUUUGUAAAAAUCUUCAAGAUCUUCAGAGAGGGAUCAUAAGGACCAGGAGCUUUAUUAAGGUUAAUUUUACGCAAUUCUCGUUGUACCUGGUCGACAGUAAUUAGAGGUAGAUUCUCUAUACAUUGAAAUUCCAACCAAUUUUCGUUCACUUUCGGAUAAUUCUUAGUUAAGUUUGCAAAAUAAUCGUUUAUAUAAUGAGCAGACUGCUUAUCAUCCAUCUGAAACCCAGUAUUGGGAUCCAACAUUAUUGGUUUAGCAGUUUUCUUGCCGAUCAAGCCCUUCAUUUGUUUCCACCAAGAUUUAGGGUUGUUUUUAAAGUUUGGACUUACUUUAUUCUCGUAGAAAUCAAUUUUCGCUUUCCGAAUUUCUGCCGAGACUUGUCUUCUGAGACUUUUCACACGCUCAACUUUUUUAUUUUUAAAAGCCAUAUUCCUUUUAAGAAUCAACGAUUUUAUUUUAGCUGUCAUAAAAGGUUUAUCCUUACUAUAAACUUUAACCGUUUUUUCCGGAAAAUAUUCAGAAAUCAUAUUCUCAGUGACCUGAAGAAAGUUCCUUUCUCCGUAAUAUGAGACUUGGACUUCCAGCUGAUGAUAUUAUGAUCCGACGUUGACAGUGGGGCUAGGAUUUCCGGAGUUUCGUAACAGUCAGCCAUGUCAGUGAAUAUUAAAUCAAGGAUGUUUCUGUUUCUGAUACAUUUAGGUUUGGUGGAAGGUAUGCGCAUCCUACUGCAAUCCUUGAAAUUGAUCUUGGUAACCACUUUGGGCGGAUAGUAAUCCAUAAGCAUUCAAACAGUUGAUCGUUUAAAUCAUCACGCGUUUUUAGUGGUAUACUUUCAUUGACAUAUAUUGCUACCCCUCCACCUCUACCACACAAUCGAUCUUUUCUGAUAAUGUUCAGACCAGAAACAUUCACAACCUCAUCAGGGAUUACAUCUCUUAACCAUGUUUCUGUCACAAGAAUUAAGUCAGCAAUAUACUUAUCUCUAAGGAUUUCAAGUUCAUUUACCUUAUUGACUAA
Molecule: long non-coding RNA, 2128 nt
Filed under: Dendronephthya gigantea
Lineage: Eukaryota; Metazoa; Cnidaria; Anthozoa; Malacalcyonacea; Nephtheidae
Description: uncharacterized LOC114519863
Source: RNAcentral